This 1941-nucleotide long non-coding RNA is filed under the name Homo sapiens (human). RNAcentral's name for it is "HSALNT0087572". The record is from RNAcentral. Lineage: Eukaryota; Metazoa; Chordata; Mammalia; Primates; Hominidae.
AGAAGGAGGAUUAGAUCUCUACAUGCUUGAACAUUCCCAACUUAAGAAAGAAAAAAUAAAAUGCCUUAGAAUCCUGGACUCAGGCCACCAAAGUAGCAUUAUGCCCUCGAGAAAAAUCAAUUUGCAGCUUGGUGUUAUGAAGAGACUUACUGAAUAUCAAUUGGGUGGGUUAUGUUCAACUGAAAAGCAUCUUCCAAGCUAGCUAUCCAUUCCAUUUGGUUCAUACUCAAUUGCCAAUUUCCCCCUUCUCUUCUAUGCUACCUACUCUCUACCCAUGAACAUAAUAGGUACUCCCUUCCCCACCCUACCCCACCUUCAAAUAAAAGAAAGGAAAAGGAAGAAACAAAGUAAGUUAAAAUUAAAUUAAUUUGACUUAGCUACUGCUAGAGUUACUAUUUCAUACACUUCUUUCAUUUUCUGCCAAAUUUCUUGAAAUGUGCUUUAUGUUUACUGCCUCAUCUGUUUCUUCUUAAUCACUCAUUGCCUAACUCCUCCCCCUACCAUUCUAGUGUAAUUUUGUACUACAUGGUUACUAAAUCAAAUGGGACAAUCAAUUGGUGAUGUUUUGUUUUGUUUUUUCUCACCUCAUUCAGGUUGAGCUUUAAUUCCUUUCACUGGGAUUCAUCACUUCCUUAUAAAAUUUCAUUUUCUUGGUUGUUCAGUAGAAGAGUGACAAGAGGACACCACUGCUAUUCUCCAGAUUUUAGAGAAGAACAAUUGAACUUUUUUUUUUAACACAAUGAAGAUAACACCAACAUAUCUUGAACUUGGCAGAUGGAACUAGGCUACUGAUACUCUUCUAGUAAGGACAAAAGUCUGGAGUUAGAAGGCUGUUGGCAGUGGUUCAGAGGACCAGCUCUGUUAAGGCCAGUAAGUCUCCAAUUCUCAAGCUUUUCACCUCAUUGCCACAAGUUUGCUGUUGCAGCUCACAACGUCAUACCCACUUUCAAGAUGGGAAGAAAGGAGACAGAGUGAUUCCAGCCCUGUAUCUCCUUUGUAUAAAGAAAGCAAAAACGUUUUAGAAACCCCAUAACAGAAUUUCACUGAUUUCUAAUUAGCCAAAACUGUAUCACACAACCUUCCUUUGAUAUAAGAGAAGCCAGGAAAGCAAGUAGUUUAGUGGAACACAUAUAAAAAUUCCCAGAGGAGUUGGAAAUUGAUGUUGAAACAGUCAGUCUCAGGGUCUGCCAUAGUGAUGCUACACAAAGAUAAGGUGAAGAAAUUAUUUGGAAACACAGAAGCUUUAGAGUUAACACUGCAAGAUCACAGGAAAGAAUAAUAUGGAUAAAAAUACUCACUAACUCAUACUAACAGCUUUCCAAUUUGGGUUAAAUAAAAGACAAGUUUAGGAUUCAGAUCAUUCCUGUAAUAUAGUUAACUAGAAUGAAAGUUCUAAAGUACCAAAGCAUCAAAUAUUUAAAGUCUAAGGUACCAAAGACCAAAGAGAUAGCUUGAAAGGAUUUUAUUCUUUACAUUUUUGAGUGAGUUCAGUGUUGGCAGAACCUCAUCACUGCCUACAUUAUUGAUGGGGAUAUCUGAAAAGAAGCAGAUGUUUUGCCAAGAAAGGGAAUAUGAAUCAUUGUACCUAAUAAGUUGAGAAUCUUAGGAAACAAUCUACACAGCUCAUGAGUGAAACUAGCAAUUAAUCUUGACAUGUUUUAUAAAAGGUUGGGUUGCUUAAUAUUUCUCCCAAGUAAUUUUUUUAAGUUUGCUGUAGGCAGGAAGGUAAAAAGACUGACAGUGCAGGAAACUGAACUUUUCUUUCCUCCAAAUGCCAACUGUGCCAGUUGGAUAUUGAAAUAUGAGGUACAUCAUGAUAGGAGAUUAGUCAAACUCAUUCACCAAUGUGCCCUCAGUCCCAACUUGCUAGAGGAAAUAAUGAAGUGGCGCCAUUGGAGACAAGGAGUCAUGACCAAUUUAUUGCACCAUUCUGGAUGCUGC